RNAcentral lists this ribosomal RNA (253 nucleotides) under uncultured bacterium. Its description in RNAcentral is "partial 16S ribosomal RNA". It matches the Rfam family "Bacterial small subunit ribosomal RNA", at positions 524 to 776 of the family's 1533-position model. The record is from RNAcentral.
CACGGGGGGAGCAAGCGUUGUUCGGAAUCACUGGGCGUAAAGGGCGUGUAGGCGGUCAGGUAAGUGGGACGUGAAAUGCCUCGGCUCACCCGAGGAGCGGCGUCCCAUACUGCUUGGCUUGAGUACGGGAGAGGAUGUGGGAAUUCCUGGUGUAGCGGUGAAAUGCGUAGAUAUCAGGAGGAACACCGGUGGCGAAGGCGCACAUCUGGCCCGAUACUGACGCUGAGGCGCGAAAGCUAGGGGAGCAAACAGG